This 458-nucleotide ribosomal RNA is filed under the name uncultured bacterium. RNAcentral's name for it is "partial 16S ribosomal RNA". It matches the Rfam family "Bacterial small subunit ribosomal RNA", at positions 338 to 795 of the family's 1533-position model. The record is from RNAcentral.
CCUACGGGAGGCAGCAGUGAGGAAUAUUGGUCAAUGGGCGAGAGCCUGAACCAGCCAAGUCGCGUGAGGGAGUACUGCCCUAUGGGUUGUAAACCUCUUUUGUCGGGGAGCAAAAGCCGGACGUGUCCGGCUGUGAGAGUACCCGAAGAAAAAGCAACGGCAAAGUCCGUGCCAGCAGCCGCGGUAAUACGGGGGAUGCGAGCGUUUUCCGGAUUUAUUGGGUUUAAAGGGUGGGCAGGGGGGUUUUUAAGUCAUCGGUAAAAUCGUGGGGCUCAACCCCAUCCAGCCGUUGAAACAGGGGGUCUAGAGUGUGGGAGAGGUAUGCGGAAUGCGUGGUGUAGCGGUGAAAUGCAUAGAUAUCACGCAGAACCCCGAUUGCGAAGGCAGCAUACCGGUGCACAACUGACGCUCAGGCACGAAAGCGUGGGUAUCGAACAGGAUUAGAUACCCUUGUAGUC